CUUUGACGUUAGCGGCGGACGGGUGAGUAACACGUGGGUAACCUACCUAUAAGACUGGGAUAACUUCGGGAAACCGGAGCUAAUACCGGAUAACAUUUGGAACCGCAUGGUUCUAAAGUGAAAGAUGGUUUUGCUAUCACUUAUAGAUGGACCCGCGCCGUAUUAGCUAGUUGGUAAGGUAACGGCUUACCAAGGCGACGAUACGUAGCCGACCUGAGAGGGUGAUCGGCCACACUGGAACUGAGACACGGUCCAGACUCCUACGGGAGGCAGCAGUAGGGAAUCUUCCGCAAUGGGCGAAAGCCUGACGGAGCAACGCCGCGUGAGUGAUGAAGGGUUUCGGCUCGUAAAACUCUGUUAUUAGGGAAGAACAAAUGUGUAAGUAACUGUGCACGUCUUGACGGUACCUAAUCAGAAAGCCACGGCUAACUACGUGCCAGCAGCCGCGGUAAUACGUAGGUGGCAAGCGUUAUCCGGAAUUAUUGGGCGUAAAGCGCGCGUAGGCGGUUUCUUAAGUCUGAUGUGAAAGCCCACGGCUCAACCGUGGAGGGUCAUUGGAAACUGGGAAACUUGAGUGCAGAAGAGGAAAGUGGAAUUCCAUGUGUAGCGGUGAAAUGCGCAGAGAUAUGGAGGAACACCAGUGGCGAAGGCGACUUUCUGGUCUGUAACUGACGCUGAUGUGCGAAAGCGUGGGGAUCAAACAGGAUUAGAUACCCUGGUAGUCCACGCCGUAAACGAUGAGUGCUAAGUGUUAAGGGGUUUCCGCCCCUUAGUGCUGCAGCUAACGCAUUAAGCACUCCGCCUGGGGAGUACGACCGCAAGG
Molecule: ribosomal RNA, 823 nt
Filed under: Staphylococcus sp.
Lineage: Bacteria; Bacillati; Bacillota; Bacilli; Caryophanales; Staphylococcaceae
Description: bacterial SSU rRNA
Rfam family: Bacterial small subunit ribosomal RNA
Source: RNAcentral